RNAcentral lists this ribosomal RNA (491 nucleotides) under uncultured bacterium. RNAcentral's name for it is "partial 16S ribosomal RNA". It matches the Rfam family "Bacterial small subunit ribosomal RNA", at positions 29 to 506 of the family's 1533-position model. The record is from RNAcentral.
AGUGAACGCUGGCGGUAGGCCUAACACAUGCAAGUCGAACGGCAGCACAGUAAGAGCUUGCUCUUACGGGUGGCGAGUGGCGGACGGGUGAGGAAUACAUCGGAAUCUACUUUUUCGUGGGGGAUAACGUAGGGAAACUUACGCUAAUACCGCAUACGACCUACGGGUGAAAGCAGGGGAUCUUCGGACCUUGCGCGAUUGAAUGAGCCGAUGUCGGAUUAGCUAGUUGGCGGGGUAAAGGCCCACCAAGGCGACGAUCCGUAGCUGGUCUGAGAGGAUGAUCAGCCACACUGGAACUGAGACACGGUCCAGACUCCUACGGGAGGCAGCAGUGGGGAAUAUUGGACAAUGGGCGCAAUCCUGAUCCAGCCAUACCGCGUGGGUGAAGAAGGCCUUCGGGUUGUAAAGCCCUUUUGUUGGGAAAGAAAAGCAGCAGGUUAAUACCCCGCUGUUCUGACGGUACCCAAAGAAUAAGCACCGGCUAACUUCGU